CCUACGGGGGGCAGCAGUGGGGAAUAUUGGACAAUGGGGGGAACCCUGAUCCAGCCAUGCCGCGUGUGUGAAGAAGGCCUUUUGGUUGUAAAGCACUUUAAGCGAGGAGGAGGAGCUCUAGACUAAUACUCUAGAUGCUUGGACGUUACUCGCAGAAUAAGCACCGGCUAACUCUGUGCCAGCAGCCGCGGUAAUACAGAGGGUGCAAGCGUUAAUCGGAUUUACUGGGCGUAAAGCGUGCGUAGGUGGUCUUUUAAGUCGGAUGUGAAAUCCCUGAGCUUAACUUAGGAAUUGCAUUCGAUACUGGGAGACUAGAGUAUGGGAGAGGAUGGUAGAAUUCCAGGUGUAGCGGUGAAAUGCGUAGAGAUCUGGAGGAAUACCGAUGGCGAAGGCAGCCAUCUGGCCUAAUACUGACACUGGGGUACGAAAGCAUGGGGA
Molecule: ribosomal RNA, 438 nt
Filed under: Acinetobacter movanagherensis
Lineage: Bacteria; Pseudomonadati; Pseudomonadota; Gammaproteobacteria; Moraxellales; Moraxellaceae
Description: bacterial SSU rRNA
Rfam family: Bacterial small subunit ribosomal RNA
Source: RNAcentral